RNAcentral lists this ribosomal RNA (376 nucleotides) under uncultured bacterium. RNAcentral's name for it is "bacterial SSU rRNA". It matches the Rfam family "Bacterial small subunit ribosomal RNA", at positions 28 to 404 of the family's 1533-position model. The record is from RNAcentral.
GACGAACGCUGGCGGCGUGCUUAACACAUGCAAGUCGAGCGGUAAGGCCCUUUCGGGGGUACACGAGCGGCGAACGGGUGAGUAACACGUGGGUGACCUGCCCUCAGCUCUGGGAUAAGCCUGGGAAACCGGGUCUAAUACUGGAUAUGACUCCAUGACGCAUGUUGUGGGGUGGAAAGCCUUGUGCGGCUGAGGAUGGGCCCGCGGCCUAUCAGCUUGUUGGUGGGGGUGAUGGCCUACCAAGGCGACGACGGGUAGCCGGCCUGAGAGGGCGACCGGCCACACUGGGACUGAGACACGGCCCAGACUCCUACGGGAGGCAGCAGUGGGGAAUCUUGCGCAAUGGGCGAAAGCCUGACGCAGCGACGCCGCGUGA